Molecule: non-coding RNA, 191 nt
Filed under: Karenia brevis
Lineage: Eukaryota; Dinophyceae; Gymnodiniales; Kareniaceae
Source: RNAcentral
UCCCUCUUGAAGGAUUAGCCUUGGGCGGCAUGCUGCCAUUGUAUUCAGUCCUUAUGUCAAGCGGCCCUUACAUGCAAGAGUCGCAUGUGAUGCGCAUGCAAACUAUUGUUAAGGCAAUGGCCAAGGCCGAAGAUAAGAACACCGGCUCUGUGAGUGUUCGUGAGUUGGCGGUCAACAUCGAGGAGUUUGAU